This 386-nucleotide ribosomal RNA is filed under the name uncultured bacterium. RNAcentral's name for it is "bacterial SSU rRNA". It matches the Rfam family "Bacterial small subunit ribosomal RNA", at positions 30 to 416 of the family's 1533-position model. The record is from RNAcentral.
AUUGAACGCUGGCGGCAGGCCUAACACAUGCAAGUCGAGCGGUAGAGAGGUGCUUGCAUCUCUUGAGAGCGGCGGACGGGUGAGUAAUGCCUAGGAAUCUGCCUAGUGGUGGGGGAUAACGUUCGGAAACGGACGCUAAUACCGCAUACGUCCUACGGGAGAAAGCGGGGGAUCUUCGGACCUCGCGCCAUUAGAUGAGCCUAGGUCGGAUUAGCUAGUUGGUGAGGUAAUGGCUCACCAAGGCGACGAUCCGUAACUGGUCUGAGAGGAUGAUCAGUCACACUGGAACUGAGACACGGUCCAGACUCCUACGGGAGGCAGCAGUGGGGAAUUUUGGACAAUGGGCGCAAGCCUGAUCCAGCAAUGCCGCGUGCAGGAUGAAGGCC